UAGUCCACGCCGUAAACGAUGUCUGCUAGCCGUCGGGGUACUUGGUACUUCGGUGGCGCCGCUAACGCAUUAAGCAGACCGCCUGGGGAGUACGGUCGCAAAAUUGAAACUCAAAGGAAUUGACGGGGGCCCGCACAAGCGGUGGAGCAUGUGGUUUAAUUCGAUGCAACGCGAAGAACCUUACCAUCCCUUGACAUCCAGAGAAUCUGUUAGAGAUAGUAGAGUGCCUUCGGGAGCUCUGAGACAGGUGCUGCAUGGCUGUCGUCAGCUCGUGUUGUGAAAUGUUGGGUUAAGUCCCGCAACGAGCGCAACCCUUGUCUUUAGUUGCCAUCAUUUAGUUGGGCACUCUAGAGAAACUGCCGGUGACAAACCGGAGGAAGGUAAGGAUGACGUCAAGUCAGCAUGCCCCUUACGCUCUGGGCUACACACGUGCUACAAUGGUCGUGACAAAGAGUUGCUAGUCUGCGAAGGCAAGCCAAUCUCAUAAACGCGGCCUU
Molecule: ribosomal RNA, 497 nt
Filed under: uncultured bacterium
Lineage: Bacteria
Description: bacterial SSU rRNA
Rfam family: Bacterial small subunit ribosomal RNA
Source: RNAcentral